CCUACGAGGGGCAGCAGUGGGGAAUAUUGGGCAAUGGAGGCAACUCUGACCCAGCAACGCCGCAUGAAUGAUGAAGGUCUUCGGAUUGUAAAGUUCUGUGAUGGGGGAUGAACACAAUGACGGUACCCCAAUAGCAAGCCACGGCUAACUACGUACCAGCAGCCGCGGGAAUACGUAGGUGGCACGCGUUAUCCGGAAUGACUGGUCGUAAGGGUCGCGUAGGUGGUUUAGUAAGUUGGCGGUGUAAUUCCGGGGCUCAACCUCGGCGCUACCGCCAAAACUAUUAGACUAGAGUGCAGGAGGGGUGAGUGGAAUUCCUAGUGUAGCGGUGGAAUGCGUAGAUAUCAGGAGGAACAUCAGGGGCGAAGGCGACUUACUGGACUGUAACUGACACUGAGGCACGAAAGCGUGGGGAGCAAACAGGAUUAGAUACCCGGGUAGUC
RNAcentral lists this ribosomal RNA (443 nucleotides) under uncultured bacterium. RNAcentral describes it as "partial 16S ribosomal RNA". It matches the Rfam family "Bacterial small subunit ribosomal RNA", at positions 338 to 795 of the family's 1533-position model. The record is from RNAcentral.